CAGCCGCCGCGGGAAUACGAAGGGGGCUAGCGUUGUUCGGAAUUACUGGGCGUAAAGGGCGCGUAGGCGGCCAUUCAAGUUAGAUGUGAAAGCCCUGGGCUCAACCUAGGAAUUGCAUUUGAUACUGUUUGGCUUGAGUUCGGGAGAGGUGAGUGGAAUUCCCAGUGUAGAGGUGAAAUUCGUAGAUAUUGGGAAGAACACCAGUGGCGAAGGCGGCUCACUGGACCGACACUGACGCUGAGGCGCGAAAGCGUGGGGAGCAAACAGGAUUAGAUACCCGCGUAGUCCCUGUCUCUUAUAC
RNAcentral lists this ribosomal RNA (301 nucleotides) under uncultured bacterium. RNAcentral's name for it is "partial 16S ribosomal RNA". It matches the Rfam family "Bacterial small subunit ribosomal RNA", at positions 509 to 807 of the family's 1533-position model. The record is from RNAcentral.